AACGAACGCUGGCGGCAUGCCUAACACAUGCAAGUCGAACGAGACCUUCGGGUCUAGUGGCGCACGGGUGCGUAACGCGUGGGAACCUGCCCUUAGGUUCGGAAUAACCCCCCGAAAGGGCUGCUAAUACUGGAUAAUGUCUUCGGACCAAAGAUUUAUCGCCUUUGGAUGGGCCCGCGUUGGAUUAGCUAGUUGGUAGGGUAAAAGCCUACCAAGGCGACGAUCCAUAGCUGGUCUGAGAGGAUGAUCAGCCACACUGGGACUGAGACACGGCCCAGACUCCUACGGGAGGCAGCAGUGGGGAAUAUUGGACAAUGGGCGAAAGCCUGAUCCAGCAAUGCCGCGUGAGUGAUGAAGGCCUUAGGGUUGUAAAGCUCUUUUACCCGGGAUGAUAAUGACAGUACCGGGAGAAUAAGCUCCGGCUAACUCCGUG
Molecule: ribosomal RNA, 433 nt
Filed under: uncultured bacterium
Lineage: Bacteria
Description: partial 16S ribosomal RNA
Rfam family: Bacterial small subunit ribosomal RNA
Source: RNAcentral